CACGUAGGGUGCGAGCGUUGUCCGGAAUUAUUGGGCGUAAAGAGCUCGUAGGCGGUGUGUCGCGUCGGCCGUGAAAACCUGCAGCUUAACUGUGGGCUUGCGGUCGAUACGGGCAUCACUGGAGUUCGGCAGGGGGAGACUGGAAUUCCUGGUGUAGCGGUGAAAUGCGCAGAUAUCAGGAGGAACACCGGUGGCGAAGGCGGGGUCUCUGGGGCCGAUACUGACGCUGAGGAGCGAAAAGUGUGGGGGAGCGAACAGG
RNAcentral lists this ribosomal RNA (259 nucleotides) under uncultured bacterium. RNAcentral describes it as "partial 16S ribosomal RNA". It matches the Rfam family "Bacterial small subunit ribosomal RNA", at positions 524 to 776 of the family's 1533-position model. The record is from RNAcentral.